GAGCGUGUAGCCUAGCGGUAGUGUGCACGCCUGAGAUGAGGUGAUUGUGGGUUCGAAUCCCCCUGGCGCC
RNAcentral lists this transfer RNA (70 nucleotides) under Hordeum vulgare. RNAcentral describes it as "tRNA-OTHER". Lineage: Eukaryota; Viridiplantae; Streptophyta; Magnoliopsida; Poales; Poaceae. The record is from RNAcentral.